This 1484-nucleotide long non-coding RNA is filed under the name Pongo abelii (Sumatran orangutan). RNAcentral's name for it is "lncRNA (ENSPPYG00000040274.1)". Lineage: Eukaryota; Metazoa; Chordata; Mammalia; Primates; Hominidae. The record is from RNAcentral.
AACAGCAGAGUAGCUUAGCCGCAACAAAGACCACAAGGCUUUCAGAACUGAAAAUGCAUAUUUGACAAUUUACAAAAAAACGUUUGCCAGUCCAUGGUCUAGUUUAACACAGGCUGGAGAAAUAAUUCUACAUAAUUAAAACUGAGCUUUAAAAUGUGGAAAUACAAAAGACUGAAAUGGCAGUCAUCAUAUCUACUCUAAGUUUUCUCAGACCCAGAAGACACAGAAUGUCAGCACUAUUUUGAUUUUUUUUUUUCAUAUUCAAGCACAGUGUAACAAGGCCAGAGUGCCUGCUGGACAAGGUCCCUGAGUUAGGGCAUGCUCUCUUCUAGUUUUUCUUUUUAUACAUCACCACCUCACAGAUCACCAUCACCACUGUCCAUUCACAUGGAGGUAACUCCUUUGAGUUUCCACUGCUAUGCCCUUCGGUCUCUUAUGCCAAAUGGCACAGAUAGAUUACAGACGAAUGAUUGAUAAAGACAGAUAUAUAGAUGAUAGAUAAAAAUGGACUGAUAGAUUACUUAACAAUAGAUAGAUAAGAUGAAUUAAGAUGAAUUUAGAUGAAAGCAGAAUUGGGGAAGUUUGAGAACUACCAAUAACAUCAGACAUUAGAAUAUGAAUCAAGGUAUUUCUCAGAACAGAACACUUAUUGUUCCACAUAAGCUUAUUUAUCUUAUAUGUACAUUGGUAUGCUGUUUCUGAAUUUAUCUUAAGACCAUAGAAAAACAAUAACUAUGUUUUAGUGAUGGUAUGCACUACAAGAAGUGCAAUCAUGCUGCUUUCCUGCAUGAUCAUCAUGGGAGUUGACAUGUGGAAAUUAUGAGAAAUGUGAAAAAACACACCAUUUGAAUCAAAUAGAUAAAAUUGGAAGAUUCACAUCAUCUUCCUCGAAUUGUGAAGUUGUAAGGUGCCUAUAUCCCAUUUAUAUUCAAUCAAAAAUGGUAUUUCAAGAGCUAGAUCAAUUCUAUGUUAGGAGAACUCACCAAAUGUCUACAACACAGCACAAUUCACAAAACAUAACAUAAGCCUAUGUUUUGACCCUAAUAUUUUCAAUUAAUUAAAUAAAAUCUUUUUACCCUGCUUUUUCUCAUUAACAGUCAUCCAUUCACUUUCUAAUUUACUCUUUCACUGUAAAUACCAUGAAGGCAAAUUUAGUCAUUUAAAAUGGAUUAAUAAUUUUCUGUUUCACUUUCCAGGAUGUGAUAUACAAAACUGUGAAAGAGAUACAAACAGCAACACAUAAAACUGGUAACAGUUCUAUCUUUGUUAAAGUAUCUACCACAUCCUGAUUUGCCAAUCAAAACUUCUGUUUCAACUAUUUGUUAUAUCAACUACUCAAAGAAGAAAGUGGUUACAUUUUAUUUGUAGCCUUUAGACAAAAGCCACAUGCAUCGACUCAUUUCAGAUGGCCAGAAUGUCCACCAUGGGGUAGCUCACUUAUUCUCUCUUCCGGCAAGAUCAGAGCUCGCUACACCCCUUUGCUU